CCUACGGGAGGCUGCAGUGAGGAAUAUUGGUCAAUGGACGAGAGUCUGAACCAGCCAAGUAGCGUGAAGGAUGACUGCCCUAUGGGUUGUAAACUUCUUUUAUAUGGGAAUAAAAUGUUCCACGUGUGGGAUUUUGUAUGUACCAUAUGAAUAAGGAUCGGCUAACUCCGUGCCAGCAGCCGCGGUAAUACAGAGGAUCCGAGCGUUAUCCGGAUUUAUUGGGUUUAAAGGGAGCGUAGGUGGAUUGUUAAGUCAGUUGUGAAAGUUUGCGGCUCAACCGUAAAAUUGCAGUUGAAACUGGCAGUCUUGAGUACAGUAGAGGUGGGCGGAAUGCGUGGUGUAGCGGUGAAAUGCUUAGAUAUCACGAAGAACUCCGAUUGCGAAGGCAGUUCACUGGACUGCAACUGACACUGAGGCUCGAAAGUGUGGGUAUCAAACAGGAUUAGAUACCCUAGUAGUC
Molecule: ribosomal RNA, 460 nt
Filed under: uncultured bacterium
Lineage: Bacteria
Description: partial 16S ribosomal RNA
Rfam family: Bacterial small subunit ribosomal RNA
Source: RNAcentral